UACGUAGGGUCCAAGCGUUAUCCGGAAUCACUGGGCGUAAAGCGUGCGUAGGCGGGAGGUUAAGUGCAAUGCGAAAUCUUGUGGCUCAACCAUAUAGACUGUAUUGCAUACUGGACACCUAGAGGACGGCAGAGGCAAGUGGAAUUACUGGUGUAGCAGUGAAAUGCGUAGAUAUCAGUAGGAACACCAAUGGCGAAGGCAGCUUGCUGGGCCGACCCUGACGCUAAGGCACGAAAGCGUGGGGAGCGAACAGG
This 254-nucleotide ribosomal RNA is filed under the name uncultured bacterium. RNAcentral's name for it is "partial 16S ribosomal RNA". It matches the Rfam family "Bacterial small subunit ribosomal RNA", at positions 524 to 776 of the family's 1533-position model. The record is from RNAcentral.